GACGAAGGUGGCAAGCGUUGUUCGGAAUCACUGGGCUUAAAGCGCACGUAGGCGGCCUGAUAAGCACUUUGUGAAAUCCCCCGGCUCAACCGAGGAAUUGCAGGGUGGACUGUCGGGCUUGAGGCAGGUAGGGGCGAGUGGAACUCUUGGUGGAGCGGUGGAAUGCGUAGAUAUCAAGAGGAACGCCGGUGGUGAAGACGACUCGCUGGGCCUGUCCUGACGCUGAGGUGCGAAAGCCAGGGGAG
Molecule: ribosomal RNA, 245 nt
Filed under: uncultured bacterium
Lineage: Bacteria
Description: partial 16S ribosomal RNA
Rfam family: Bacterial small subunit ribosomal RNA
Source: RNAcentral